RNAcentral lists this ribosomal RNA (510 nucleotides) under uncultured bacterium. Its description in RNAcentral is "partial 16S ribosomal RNA". It matches the Rfam family "Bacterial small subunit ribosomal RNA", at positions 28 to 507 of the family's 1533-position model. The record is from RNAcentral.
GACGAACGCUGGCGGCGUGCUUAACACAUGCAAGUCGAACGAAGAGCGACGGAAGCUUGCUUCUAUCAAUCUUAGUGGCGGACGGGUGAGUAACGCGUAAUCAACCUGCCCUUCAGAGGGGGACAACAGUUGGAAACGACUGCUAAUACCGCAUACGAUCUAAUCUCGGCAUCGAGGAUGGAUGAAAGGUGGCCUCUACAUGUAAGCUAUCACUGAAGGAGGGGAUUGCGUCUGAUUAGCUAGUUGGAGGGGUAACGGCCCACCAAGGCGAUGAUCAGUAGCCGGUCUGAGAGGAUGAACGGCCACAUUGGGACUGAGACACGGCCCAGACUCCUACGGGAGGCAGCAGUGGGGAAUCUUCCGCAAUGGACGAAAGUCUGACGGAGCAACGCCGCGUGAGGGAUGACGGCCUUCGGGUUGUAAAGCUCUGUUAAUCGGGACGAAAGGCCUUCUUGCGAAUAGUGAGAAGGAUUGACGGUACCGGAAGAGAAAGCCACGGCUAACUACGUG